This 303-nucleotide ribosomal RNA is filed under the name uncultured bacterium. RNAcentral describes it as "partial 16S ribosomal RNA". It matches the Rfam family "Bacterial small subunit ribosomal RNA", at positions 507 to 807 of the family's 1533-position model. The record is from RNAcentral.
AGCAGUAGCCACGGGAAUACAGAGGGUGCGAGCGUUAAUCGGAUUUACUGGGCGUAAAGCGUGCGUAGGCGGUGAGUUAAGUCUGCUGUGAAAUCCCCGGGCUCAACCUGGGAAUGGCAGUGGAUACUGGCUCGCUAGAGUGUGUCAGAGGAUGGUGGAAUUCCCGGUGUAGCGGUGAAAUGCGUAGAGAUCGGGAGGAACAUCAGUGGCGAAGGCGGCCAUCUGGGACAACACUGACGCUGAGGCACGAAAGCGUGGGGAGCAAACAGGAUUAGAUACCCCUGUAGUCCCUGUCUCUUAUAC